ACCCCUCAGCUCAGAACAGGGUCUCCUAGAGCAGGUUGUUCAGGGCCAGGUCCAGUCAAGCUUUGAAUAUCUCAGAGAAUGGAGCCUCCAC
Molecule: non-coding RNA, 91 nt
Organism: Tinamus guttatus (white-throated tinamou)
Lineage: Eukaryota; Metazoa; Chordata; Aves; Tinamiformes; Tinamidae
Source: RefSeq, a predicted model, not a curated record